CGGAGUAAGGGAGCUGCUCCUGAGUUUAGCGGCGGACGGGUGAGUAAUGCCUAGGAAUCUGCCUGGUUGUGGGGGAUAACGUUCCGAAAGGACGUAAAUACCGCAUACGUCCUACGGGAGAAGGCAGGGGACUUCGGGCCUUGCGCUAUCAGAUGAGCCUAGGUCGGAUUAGCUAGUUGGUGAGGUAAUGGCUCACCAAGGCGACGAUCCGUAACUGGUCUGAGAGGAUGAUCAGUCACACUGGAACUGAGACACGGUCCAGACUC
RNAcentral lists this ribosomal RNA (266 nucleotides) under uncultured Gammaproteobacteria bacterium. RNAcentral's name for it is "partial 16S ribosomal RNA". It matches the Rfam family "Bacterial small subunit ribosomal RNA", at positions 67 to 338 of the family's 1533-position model. Lineage: Bacteria; Pseudomonadati; Pseudomonadota; Gammaproteobacteria. The record is from RNAcentral.